CGGGAGGUGACAGGUGAAAUAGAGAGUACCAUCAGGCUCAUGAUCCCUGGGGUUGCAGCUUUGAGGAGGCUGUGUCUGCAGUUGCAGCUUGUAGGACCAUCACCUUAUUCUCCCAUCCCUCUAAGCAAAUGCCCAAGGAUCUUUAUUACUACUCUUGGAGAGGCAGAAUGGAGGAGGGCAGCAUCUGAAGCUGACUGCCUAGGUUCAAAGUCUAGGCCUGCUGCUCAAGUGCUGUGCCUGUGUAGCUUUAGAAUUUGAUCUGCACUGCAUUUAAUCGUCACAUCUCCUUAGUGUCCUCCAAUCUCUGACAGUUCCACAGUGUUUGUCUUUCAUGAACUUGGCACUUUUGAAGAAUACUUGUCAGCUCACAAGAAGGGAUUUGUGACCUGCUUUGAUGAAAACACCCUCCCUUUGAUUUUCUCUCACUUCGAGC
Molecule: long non-coding RNA, 433 nt
Organism: Hippopotamus amphibius kiboko
Lineage: Eukaryota; Metazoa; Chordata; Mammalia; Artiodactyla; Hippopotamidae
Exons: 3
Source: RefSeq, a predicted model, not a curated record